GACGAACGCUGGCGGCGUGCUUAACACAUGCAAGUCGAACGGUGACGGAGAGCUUGCUCUCCUGAUCAGUGGCGAACGGGUGAGUAACACGUGGGCAACCUGCCCAGACUUCGGGAUAACGCUUCGAAAGAGGUGCUAAUACCGGAUACGAGCUCCUUGGGCAUCCUUGGAGUUGGAAAGUUUUUCGGUCUGGGAUGGGCCCGCGGCCUAUCAGCUAGUUGGUGAGGUAACGGCUCACCAAGGCGACGACGGGUAGCCGGCCUGAGAGGGCGACCGGCACACUGGGACUGAGACACGGCCCAGACUCCUACGGGAGGCAGCAGUGGGGAAUAUUGCGCAAUGGGCGAAAGCCUGACGCAGCAACGCCGCGUGAGGGAUGACGGCU
This 385-nucleotide ribosomal RNA is filed under the name uncultured bacterium. RNAcentral's name for it is "bacterial SSU rRNA". It matches the Rfam family "Bacterial small subunit ribosomal RNA", at positions 28 to 416 of the family's 1533-position model. The record is from RNAcentral.